This 148-nucleotide unclassified non-coding RNA is filed under the name fungal sp. RNAcentral's name for it is "partial internal transcribed spacer region". The record is from RNAcentral. Lineage: Eukaryota; Fungi.
AAGUCGUAACAAGGUUUCCGUCGGGGAACCAGCGGAAGGAUCAUUUUCGUAACAAACACUGCGACUGCGUGGUCUCUCACUUUUAUGCCAUUUUUCAAUCACUGAAAUCUUACUGACACAACUGGCACCGGCGGAUCUCUUGGCUCGU